UACGUAGGUGGCAAGCGUUGUCCGGAUUUAUUGGGUUUAAAGGGUGCGUAGGUGGUCGAUUAAGUCAGUGCUGAAUAUCCCAGCUUAACUGGGAGGGUGGCAUUGAUACUGAUUGACUUGAGUGGAGUUGAGGUAGGCGGAAUUGACGGUGUAGCGGUGAAAUGCGCAGAUAUCGGGAAGAACACCCAUGGCGAAGGCAGCUCUCUGGGACGGUACUGACGCUGAGACGCGAAAGCGUGGGGAGCGAACAGG
RNAcentral lists this ribosomal RNA (252 nucleotides) under uncultured bacterium. RNAcentral describes it as "partial 16S ribosomal RNA". It matches the Rfam family "Bacterial small subunit ribosomal RNA", at positions 524 to 776 of the family's 1533-position model. The record is from RNAcentral.